UUUUCUUUCUAGUGCAUCUCAUGGUUCUCUCUCUUCCCCAAAGGUUUCCAACAACUGUGACUCCAUUUUCGUGAAUGGGAAGGAAAUGAAGAGUAAAGUGGACACAAUAGUGAAGUUCACCUACCAGCACUUCACCUCCCAGGUGGAAAUCACUGUCUGGGCGCCCCGACUCCCCUUGCAGAUUGAGAUCUCAGACACAGAGCUGAGCCAGAUCAAGGGUUGGAGGAUCCCGGUGGCCUCCAACAGAAGGCCCACCCGGGAAAGCGAAGACAAGGAGGAUGAGGAGAAGAAGGGACAAGGCUGCUCCCUGCAGUACCAGCAUGCCCUGGUGCGCGUCCUCACCCAGUUUGUGACCCAGUCAUCUAACCUACAUGUUGGGCCCAGACAGGCAGUUUGACAUCACUGACCUCGUGACAGAGUUCAUGAAGGUGGAGGAGCCCAGAGUCGCCCAGUUACAGGAUGGCAGGACCCUGGUUGGUCGGGAGCUGGGAAUCACCACUGUUCAGGUACAGGGGGUUCAUGUUUUGCCACCUCUCCAACACCAGUACCUGCUGAUGAUGUAGGCAAAUGCUGCCAUGGAGGGGUGUGCACAUGUGUGAGGGUGAUUGUGCAAAUGUGCAGAUACUGGGUCUUCCUGUAACAGAAUCAUGAGGAAGCAAUAGAGUAUUCACCAAUUUUAAUAACCUAAACACAUUUUGUAUUUUAGAGAGGGUUGAGAAAAAUGCCUGAUCUGUUUUUACCAGAGAAAGCUAAAUGAAACACAUAGUGUAAGUCACCCUUUUCCCGAUAUGACACUUUUUUUUUAAUCUGUACUAGGAGGUGGUAGAACCUCUGAAAGCAAAUUUCUCCUCAACCUUAACAUUUAACCAUUUAGCUAUAUUAUACCUUUAACAGUAGGCAAAGAUUUUCUAGAGCAUGUAUUUGGCUAUAAAUCACAAAGAAUCCAUAGUUAAAAGCUCUCUAUUUUCAUCAUACAUUUAAUAGUAAAAUAAUUUCUAACUGAUUUUGGCAAGAUUAAAAAGGAAAAAGUCACAGCUUGUUUUAUUUUUGCAAAUUUAAAAUGUUACUGCUCAUAGUUAAUUAUGUCUUAUUUUAGGUAUUGCCAAAGUUAAUUUUCACAAAGUUGAAUUAAAC
RNAcentral lists this long non-coding RNA (1134 nucleotides) under Ictidomys tridecemlineatus (thirteen-lined ground squirrel). Its description in RNAcentral is "lncRNA (ENSSTOG00000032997.1)". Lineage: Eukaryota; Metazoa; Chordata; Mammalia; Rodentia; Sciuridae. The record is from RNAcentral.